Molecule: transfer RNA, 75 nt
Filed under: Spirochaetota bacterium
Lineage: Bacteria; Pseudomonadati; Spirochaetota
Description: Spirochaetes bacterium tRNA-Met
Rfam family: tRNA
About the family: Transfer RNA (tRNA) molecules are approximately 80 nucleotides in length. Their secondary structure includes four short double-helical elements and three loops (D, anti-codon, and T loops). Further hydrogen bonds mediate the characteristic L-shaped molecular structure. tRNAs have two regions of fundamental functional importance: the anti-codon, which is responsible for specific mRNA codon recognition, and the 3' end, to which the tRNAs corresponding amino acid is attached (by aminoacyl-tRNA synthetases). tRNAs cope with the degeneracy of the genetic code in two manners: having more than one tRNA (with a specific anti-codon) for a particular amino acid; and 'wobble' base-pairing, i.e. permitting non-standard base-pairing at the 3rd anti-codon position.
Source: RNAcentral
AGCGGGGUGGGGUAGCCAGGAAAUCCCGACGGGCCCAUAACCCGUAGAUCGGUGGUUCGAAUCCACCCCCCGCUA